Long non-coding RNA from Stegodyphus dumicola, 308 nucleotides. The record is from RefSeq and is a predicted model, not a curated record. Lineage: Eukaryota; Metazoa; Arthropoda; Arachnida; Araneae; Eresidae.
ACAUCAUUCCACUGAAAGACCAACUGUAUAUCUUUUCACUGGUCAUUAUAGCAAGUUGCAUUCCUUAGUUGAUAAAAUUCCCCAGAAAACUUUAUUAAAAUUAUUUCUAAUGUGUUGACAUUUAUGAAGUUAAUUUUGGCAACAUCAUUGCAAGGUGCGUUGUUACAUGCAAUUACAGAUUCUUUGGUUACAUGUUUUUGUUGUUAAUGGAAUAUUAGUGAAGAGAAUAUUGUGUUUUGAAGAUUGCUUUGCAUUUCCUAUAUACUGUGUACCACUAGCAUGAAGAGUGAUGCUCGCUAUUUGUUAAA